Molecule: ribosomal RNA, 489 nt
Filed under: uncultured bacterium
Lineage: Bacteria
Description: bacterial SSU rRNA
Rfam family: Bacterial small subunit ribosomal RNA
Source: RNAcentral
AGAGUUUGAUUAUGGACUCAGAACGAACGGCUGGCGGCAUGGAUUAGGCAUGCAAGUCGAACGGGAGCAGCAAUGCUCCAGUGGCGCAAGGGUGAGGAACACGUGAACAACCUGCCUUCGAGUUGGGGAUAGCUUCUGGAAACGGGAGAUAAUACCGAAUAACAUCACCGGGUCGCAUGACCUGGUGAUCAAAGCAGCAAUGCGCUUGAAGAGGGGUUCGCGUCCCAUUAGCUAGUUGGUGAGGUAACGGCCCACCAAGGCGAUGAUGGGUAGCUGGUCUGAGAGAACGAUCAGCCACAUUGGGACUGAGAUACUGCCCAGACUCCUACGGGAGGCUGCAGUCGAGAAUUUUGGGCAAUGGACGAAAGUCUGACCCAAGCAAUGCCGCGUGCGGGAUGAAGGUCUUCGGAUUGUAAACCGCUGUCAAGAGGGACGAAAUAUGACGGUACCUCUGGAGGAAGCCACGGCUAACUACGUGCCAGCAGCGGC